GGACCGGUCGUCUAGUGGCUAGGAUGACGCACUCACACCGCAAGGGUCAUGGGUUCAAAUCCCAUCCGGUCCA
RNAcentral lists this transfer RNA (73 nucleotides) under Nitrosopumilus sp. b1. Its description in RNAcentral is "tRNA-Val". It matches the Rfam family "tRNA". Rfam says of the family: Transfer RNA (tRNA) molecules are approximately 80 nucleotides in length. Their secondary structure includes four short double-helical elements and three loops (D, anti-codon, and T loops). Further hydrogen bonds mediate the characteristic L-shaped molecular structure. tRNAs have two regions of fundamental functional importance: the anti-codon, which is responsible for specific mRNA codon recognition, and the 3' end, to which the tRNAs corresponding amino acid is attached (by aminoacyl-tRNA synthetases). tRNAs cope with the degeneracy of the genetic code in two manners: having more than one tRNA (with a specific anti-codon) for a particular amino acid; and 'wobble' base-pairing, i.e. permitting non-standard base-pairing at the 3rd anti-codon position. Lineage: Archaea; Thermoproteati; Nitrososphaerota; Nitrososphaeria; Nitrosopumilales; Nitrosopumilaceae. The record is from RNAcentral.